This 305-nucleotide ribosomal RNA is filed under the name uncultured bacterium. RNAcentral's name for it is "bacterial SSU rRNA". It matches the Rfam family "Bacterial small subunit ribosomal RNA", at positions 336 to 638 of the family's 1533-position model. The record is from RNAcentral.
CGCUUACGGGGCGCAGCAGUGAGGAAUAUUGGUCAAUGGGCGAGAGCCUGAACCAGCCCAGUCGCGUGACGGAUGACGGCCCUACGGGUUGUAAACUUCUUUUGUCAGGGCGCAAUUGGGUCCACGUGUGGGCUUAGCGAGAGUACCUGAAGAAAAAGCAUCGGCUCACUCCGUGCCAGCAGCCGCGGUAAUACGGAGGAUGCGAGCGUUAUCCGGAUUUAUUGGGUUUAAAGGGUGCGUAGGCGGAAUAUCAAGUCAGCGGUAAAAAUUCGGGGCUCAACCCCGUCGUGCCGUUGAAAGUGAUG